RNAcentral lists this ribosomal RNA (253 nucleotides) under uncultured bacterium. RNAcentral's name for it is "partial 16S ribosomal RNA". It matches the Rfam family "Bacterial small subunit ribosomal RNA", at positions 524 to 776 of the family's 1533-position model. The record is from RNAcentral.
UACGUAGGGUGCAAGCGUUGUCCGGAAUUAUUGGGCGUAAAGAGCUCGUAGGCGGCUUGUUGCGUCGACCGUGAAAACCCGGGGCUCAACUUCGGGCUUGCAGUCGAUACGGGCGGGCUAGAGUUCGGUAGGGGAGACUGGAAUUCCUGGUGUAGCGGUGAAAUGCGCAGAUAUCAGGAGGAACACCGGUGGCGAAGGCGGGUCUCUGGGCCGAUACUGACGCUGAGGAGCGAAAGCGUGGGGAGCGAACAGG